GUAAAAGAAACCAUUAUUGGCUUUUUAGUUAAUUUUUAAUUAUUUCAAUUUUUUUAGUUUUUAGGUGGAAUUUAUAACUACAAUUAUAAUAUUAUUUAUUAUUAUGAUACUAUGAAACUUAUGAUAAAAACAAGGAUUAGAUACCCUUUUAUUUUAAGUGUUAAUUUUUGCCUGGGUAGUAAUAGUUAUGUUCUUGAAACCCAAAGGRUUUGGCGGUAUUUUAGUCUUUUCAGAGGARCCUGUCCUGUA
RNAcentral lists this ribosomal RNA (249 nucleotides) under Lestes dryas. Its description in RNAcentral is "partial 12S ribosomal RNA". Lineage: Eukaryota; Metazoa; Arthropoda; Insecta; Odonata; Lestidae. The record is from RNAcentral.